GAUGAACGCUGGCGGCGUGCUUAACACAUGCAAGUCGAACGAAGCACUUUACUUGAUUUCUUCGGAUUGAUUUUAAAGUGACUUAGUGGCGGACGGGUGAGUAACGCGUGGGUAACCUGCCUCGGUACAGGGGGAUAACAGUUAGAAAUGACUGCUAAUACCGCAUAACCCGCUAAAGUCGCAUGACUUAGACGGAAAAGAUUUAUCGGUACGAGAUGGACCCGCGUCUGAUUAGCUAGUUGGUGAGGUAACGGCCCACCAAGGCGACGAUCAGUAGCCGGCCUGAGAGGGUGAACGGCCACAUUGGGACUGAGACACGGCCCAAACUCCUACGGGAGGCAGCAGUGGGGAAUAUUGCACAAUGGAGGAAACUCUGAUGCAGCCAUGCCGCGUGUGUGAAGAAGGCCUUCGGGUUGUAAAGCACUUUCAGAGGGGAGGAGAAUGACGUUACCCUCAGAAGAAGCACCGGCUAACUCCGUG
Molecule: ribosomal RNA, 480 nt
Filed under: uncultured bacterium
Lineage: Bacteria
Description: bacterial SSU rRNA
Rfam family: Bacterial small subunit ribosomal RNA
Source: RNAcentral